GACGAACGCUGGCGGCGUGGAUUAGGCAUGCAAGUCGAACGGUAUGGACCUUUCGGGGUUCAGAGAGUGGCGAACGGGUGAGUAACACGUAGGUAAUCUGCCUUUCAGACGGGGAUAACUCAGGGAAACUUGUGCUAAUACCCGAUGAGACUACGGGAGGGGACUUCUGUAGCCAAAGGUGGGGGCAACCUCGCGCUGAAAGAUGAGUCUGCGUCCUAUCAGCUAGUUGGUGGGGUAAAAGCCUACCAAGGCGACGAUGCGUAGCCGGACUGAGAGGUUGAACGGCCACAUUGGGACUGAGACACGGCCCAAACUCCUACGGGAGACAGCAGUUAGGAAUAUUCGGCAAUGGGGGAAACCCUGACCGAGCAAUGCCGCGUGUGCGAUGAAGGUCCUUUGGAUUGUAAAGACACUUUUAUUAAGGUAAGAACUAUGUAUAUAGGAAAUAGAUAUAUAUUUGACGGUACUUAUUGAAUAAGACCCGGCCAAACUAACGUGCCAGCAGCCGCGGUAACUAGUAGUCGU
This 525-nucleotide ribosomal RNA is filed under the name uncultured bacterium. RNAcentral's name for it is "bacterial SSU rRNA". It matches the Rfam family "Bacterial small subunit ribosomal RNA", at positions 28 to 534 of the family's 1533-position model. The record is from RNAcentral.